GACGAACGCUGGCGGCGUGCUUAACACAUGCAAGUCGAACGGAAAGGCCCUGCUUUUGUGGGGUGCUCGAGUGGCGAACGGGUGAGUAACACGUGAGUAACCUGCCCUUGACUUUGGGAUAACUUCAGGAAACUGGGGCUAAUACCGGAUAGGAGCUCCUGCUGCAUGGUGGGGGUUGGAAAGUUUCGGCGGUUGGGGAUGGACUCGCGGCUUAUCAGCUUGUUGGUGGGGUAGUGGCUUACCAAGGCUUUGACGGGUAGCCGGCCUGAGAGGGUGACCGGCCACAUUGGGACUGAGAUACGGCCCAGACUCCUACGGGAGGCAGCAGUGGGGAAUAUUGCACAAUGGGCGGAAGCCUGAUGCAGCAACGCCGCGUGCGGGAUGACGGCCUUCGGGUUGUAAACCGCUUUCGCCUGUGACGAAGCGUGAGUGACGGUAAUGGGUAAAGAAGCACCGGCUAACUACGUGCCAGCAGCCGCGGUGAUACGUAGGGUGCGAGCGUUGUCCGGAUUUAUUGGGCGUAAAGGGCUCGUAGGUGGUUGAUCGCGUCGGAAGUGUAAUCUUGGGGCUUAACCCUGAGCGUGCUUUCGAUACGGGUUGACUUGAGGAAGGUAGGGGAGAAUGGAAUUCCUGGUGGAGCGGUGGAAUGCGCAGAUAUCAGGAGGAACACCAGUGGCGAAGGCGGUUCUCUGGGCCUUUCCUGACGCUGAGGAGCGAAAGCGUGGGGAGCGAACAGGCUUAGAUACCCUGGUAGUCCACGCUGUAAACGGUGGGUACUAGGUGUGGGGUCCAUUCCACGGGUUCCGUGCCGUAGCUAACGCUUUAAGUACCCCGCCUGGGGAGUACGGCCGCAAGGCUAAAACUCAAAGGAAUUGACGGGGCCCCGCACAAGCGGCGGAGCAUGCGGAUUAAUUCGAUGCAACGCGUAGAACCUUACCUGGGUUUGACAUGGAUCGGGAGUGCUCAGAGAUGGGUGUGCCUCUUUUGGGGUCGGUUCACAGGUGGUGCAUGGCUGUCGUCAGCUCGUGUCGUGAGAUGUUGGGUUAAGUCCCGCAACGAGCGCAACCCUUGUUCACUGUUGCCAGCACGUUAUGGUGGGGACUCAGUGGAGACCGCCGGGGUCAACUCGGAGGAAGGUGGGGAUGACGUCAAGUCAUCAUGCCCCUUAUGUCCAGGGCUUCACGCAUGCUACAAUGGCUGGUACAGAGAGUGGCGAGCCUGUGAGGGUGAGCGGAUCUCGGAAAGCCGGUCUCAGUUCGGAUUGGGGUCUGCAACUCGACCUCAUGAAGUCGGAGUCGCUAGUAAUCGCAGAUCAGCAACGCUGCGGUGAAUACGUUCCCGGGGCU
This 1346-nucleotide ribosomal RNA is filed under the name uncultured bacterium. Its description in RNAcentral is "partial 16S ribosomal RNA". It matches the Rfam family "Bacterial small subunit ribosomal RNA", at positions 28 to 1381 of the family's 1533-position model. The record is from RNAcentral.